Venturia canescens is the source of this 720-nucleotide long non-coding RNA. RefSeq lists it as uncharacterized. The record is from RefSeq and is a predicted model, not a curated record. Lineage: Eukaryota; Metazoa; Arthropoda; Insecta; Hymenoptera; Ichneumonidae. The transcript has 2 exons.
UCAAUUAUUAAUGGGUUUAAAUAAUUAUUUUGCCACCUUGUCUUCGUACCAUUAUCGAAAUUGAAACAAACAAUAUUUUUUUUCUAGCAUUUUCGCAAAGUUUUGUCAGCUACUAUAUUCCAGCCGCGAAAUUAUGCAACGUUGGCGGGAACGCUAAUGGUAUUUAACCUUUGAAGGACGAGUCUGGUCGAAACAUCGACCACUACCUAGUUUGGUGGUUUGGUCGGGUACUCCACUUGAAAAAUUCAUUGAUAUGAUGCACAAAUUUUGCGUAAAAAAGUACCGCGGCGAUGAUAACCUGGACGUAAAAAAAUUACUGAAAUAUUACCGCCUUAUAAUUUAAACGGAAGUAUAUUGAGAUGCGACUCUAUAAGCAUCGCUAUAUAAUAAGAAAUAUACGACAACGAAUUCUGUUGAUACUCCAAAAUCCGCGCCACGGUAUCCGCGCUGACAAAUGUCCCGCAACCACGAACGGUAGUGCUGCUAGGCGGUGGAAUUGUCGGACCGUUCAUCACUUAUGGACAUGACCAUUCUUCCAACAUUGCAUUCGGGCUUCGGGCUCCUUGCUCCUUUCUCCUUUACUCUAGUCUUCGUGGACUCGAUGCAUCAAAUUUGAUCAUUAUAUACUUUGGAAAAAAAGACGUAUUAAUCCGGCAAAAUGCAUUUGACAUUCGUUAAUUUCGCUAAGAAAAUGAGAAUGGCACCUUUUAAUUUUCGAGG